GAACGAGAAAAAGGACAUGUGCUCACAGCCUGGCCUUGGCCAGCAUGCAGCCAGAGGACAGGAGAUCCUUCCUCCUGAGUGGGUGUGGGGAAGAGUCCUUGCCCAGGAGGCUUAGAGGCUAAGAGGAGGGGGAAGGGAAGGCCUUUGGGGCGGAGCUGCCCGGACUGUCAGGAGGGUCAGAUGUGUGCAGCAGUUACCUCGAAGCAGUCCCCAAAGUCGAUGUGCAGGAUCUUCCCGCUCAGCCGGUCCAGCAUCAGGCCUAAAAUGUAUCCAACCAUUGACAUGACGGCUAAGGAGCGGGUAUAGUUGGUUCUUCGGUCAAACCACACCUACAGCAUGAGAGCACACGUGAGUCAGCAUUCUAUAAAUCAGCAGUUUCAACAUAGUUGAAGAGGACAGCUCUUCUCUAGAUUCUACAUAGCCAGUUGGAAUGAAUAAUGGAACGAAGACCCCACUCCUAAUUAAGCAGAGAAGAGUCUCUCAGAGGACAACCGUGUGACUGGUUCUCCUUCCUCCAUAGACGGGCACAGCAGCAGGUGAGACACCAGGCAAUCAUUCCGGAAGAAAGCAGGCAAUCGCUUGUCCUAAGGUUUUCAGUGUGAGUGAAGCCAGACGCACAGGAUGAGUUAGCAAGCUCACAAGGCCCUCUGCGGACAGCCGGCCCAGAUGGGAGCCUCAAGAGCCUACCUGUGGU
Molecule: long non-coding RNA, 694 nt
Organism: Mesocricetus auratus (golden hamster)
Lineage: Eukaryota; Metazoa; Chordata; Mammalia; Rodentia; Cricetidae
Exons: 4
Source: RefSeq, a predicted model, not a curated record